RNAcentral lists this small nuclear RNA (191 nucleotides) under Daphnia magna. Its description in RNAcentral is "U2 spliceosomal RNA". It matches the Rfam family "U2 spliceosomal RNA". Rfam says of the family: U2 is a small nuclear RNA (snRNA) component of the spliceosome (involved in pre-mRNA splicing). Lineage: Eukaryota; Metazoa; Arthropoda; Branchiopoda; Diplostraca; Daphniidae. The record is from RNAcentral. RNAcentral also lists the same sequence under 1 other name.
AUCGCUUCUCGGCCUUUUGGCUAAGAUCAAAGUGUAGUAUCUGUUCUUAUCAGCUUAAUAUCUGAUACGGGUUCAAAUGAACCCCAGAAUAUUAAACUGAUUUUUGGAAUUCGGUGGGAUAUCAAUGCUUGCAUUGAUCCUGCCACGGGUUGACCCGGUAUUGCAGUACCUCCGGGCUCGGCUCACCCCUU